GGAGGAGCGGGAGGAGCGGUCGCUCCGCCGCGUCCCGGGCCCCGCCCUGCCCGCUGGGAUAGCGGGACAAGACUGCGGGGCGGGCCGCGGGGAGGCGCAGGCGGGCCGGCCUUCGUAGGGACCCUGCGGCUCUCCCGGCUGAGCUCUGAACCCGGCGCGCCCUGCCGUGUUCCGUUCGGGAAGGCGUGCAAAGAGGGAACGGGUAGAUCAGCCUGAAAGUUGCGGGGCAGCGCGGCUCCGUGGUGCAGUUCAAAAUGAAGCGGCUCGCCCCGCUGGGCAAGCUCAUGAAGGCGUGCUGCGGGCUCAGGUAGGCACCGACCCCGCGCCCCCCGGGCAAGGGUCCCCUCGCUGCUUCCCUGCCCGGAGCCUGGAACGUGCCUAUCCGGGCGUGCGGGAGAGCGAGGAGUUGGGAUGCUGGCAGCUUCUCGGUGUGCAGUUCUCAUUAGAGAUGGAAGAUGAAGACACGAUCGAUGUGUUCCAGCAGCAGAACAGGUGGAGGGUGCUAAGACACGCUGUCCUUUGGAGAAAGAAGAGUUUCAGGAUCCUCAUCUCACCUGACUCUCUCAUCUGUCCUCGAAUUUGCUAUUUUAAUAGUGAACAAAUGAGCAUUCCAAUCACACGGGGCUCCUCAAAACUUCAGAGGACGUUUACCAAAGUUGCUUGUUGUCUUUGACAUUCUGCAUGCACAAGUCAAAACAGUAUCUGGAGGGAUGGAUCAGCAUUUGAAUUGGGCCAGCUUGAUUUAAGUUCAGAUUAAGUCAUGUGUAUUUUCUCUGCUGUUAUUUUUUUUUAAUUGUUUUUACUAUAUUUUUUUUUUCUUUCUUUAAACCUAUAGCCUGAACAUUCAUCCAUGUGUUGGGACAUGGAGUGUUCAUUCCUGGCUCUGUUCAGUCUUGCGCCUCUGUUUAACUCAAAUUAUGUAAAUCAGUGUAUUUUCAUGCUAGUUUUGAGCAUGGAAGUUUACUUUUAGGAGGCACCCAAGAGGAGGAACAGAGAUACUGGUUUUAAGUUCUUAGCUCGUGUUGCAAACGCAGUCGGUCCCUUGGGUGGCACUGAGCCCUCGGCACGGGCUGGAACACGGGACAAUACUUACAGCAGAGUUCACAUACUGAAGGUUUACAUGUGUUUUGUCAUGUUAUGAUAAAGGUGUCCAAAAUAUACUUUUUUUAUGCAGAAAUGAGA
This is a long non-coding RNA of Pseudopipra pipra, 1182 nucleotides long. RefSeq lists it as uncharacterized. The record is from RefSeq and is a predicted model, not a curated record. NCBI's taxonomy places the organism in Eukaryota, Metazoa, Chordata, Aves, Passeriformes, Pipridae. The transcript is spliced from 2 exons.